GCAUCAAAAUUCGUCGACGUUCAAAUCGUCGACUUGUAUCGUUUUUAUCGACUAUCGUUCAUUUCCCACUAGUUGCAUUGGUAUUAGUGACAACCUGGAUUUUGAUAAUCCAAAACAAAACGAUCAUCCGGGUGGUUCUCGCAGUACUGUUUAUCCGAAACUUUUGCCGAGAAUUAUUAAUUUACGCGUUUUAUUUUUCUUUGGAGUUUCACUAGUUUUAAUACAAAUUAAAUUUUUAUACAUAUUGCCUGUGAGGAUAAUAACAAAUCCGAAGACGAGAUGGUGAUGCCGUACAAAUCGGCAUCCGGAGAGUCCGGAAGGUGCUUUCAAGAAUCCAGAUUGUACCACACAUCGGUUAGCUGGCUGGAAUGGGGAUCGUGGCUUUGAUAUCGAGCUGGAAGACGAUAUUGCCGCUUGGUGUGAGAACUUCCACGAUAAUUAUAAGACAAUCUAGGAACCGCGGAUUUCCUAGCGACUGCGGAUGUUCUAUACGAACACGCGAAAUCCAUAUAAGUGCAACUGAAGCUGUGUGCUAACUGUCCGGACCAUAAUUCACCGCAGAGCAAUUAGCUGGCGUACACGGAGCUUGAUGAGACGCCGCGUAAUGUUCUGCAUAAUUGUGAACUACGGUGCCGCGAGAUGAUCACCCCGAAAGUACAAAGUACGGAAGAUAAUUGCUCGACAGCACAGAAGCUGGCUAGAUUCCGUUAGAUCUGGACCUGUUAGAUGGAUUCGAUGAGCAUACUUUGUGAUGCCACUGUUUAUUCAAGAUAAGAUGUCGAUUGCUGAAGACCGUCUGAAUAGGGCCGACUGUGGGACACUGUUUCGGAAACGGAACGAGAACUGCAGCUGGAACUGGUGUGUUUGGUUGAACGUUGAACUUUAAGGAUCAACUGGAGGCUAUCAGAUAGGCCUCCCAUUAUCAGAUCAAACGGAACGAUCUUCCCCUACUUGUGCAAGAUUACUGAGAAACCAAGUAGUUGCGGCAAGAUAUCGAGGGCGAACAAUGGGAUGUCCCCGAGAAUGAACCCGCGCAUACGCUCCGGCUGGAUGAAUUCCAGGUUCAUCUGGUGGACUCGAAGGACAUACUUCUCGCCAUGUUAUCGGAACUCAGGCGGCAGUCGGUUAUUACCGACCUUAAUCGGUGCAAACAAGAUUCCCCACAUUCAGCUGGCCAAGUGGGACGAUGUGUAAAUGAUCUGGCCAUCCAGCUGGAGCCGUCGGAUUGGACCUUGACGAAGAAAGUGUUCAACCAAGAUUUUCUAAGCUGUCGUUUGCUCUACCAAAAUGUUCAUAUUUUAAAAGGCACUGUAGUCUUCCAAUGUGAUUUAUAGGAUUUAUAGCACCUCGAAGGCAUCGGUCAUAUCCUAGGAACUAUGCUUACACGGGGGACCGUGUAGAAACACUGGAAAAUCUGAAAAUAUUGAAAAUGUUCUCACCUUUGAAUAUCCGAAGAUUGUUUCAGAGAGUUCAAGCAGAAAGGGAGGUGGUAAUGUAGCAUGGGUGGAUUCUAGGGAUUAGUGUAGAGGUGGCAAGGGAAGGUUGAAGGGUUUGGAGGAGGAGAAUCCAUACUGGUUUUAAGGAGGGUUUCAGAGAAUUUUUAGAGGUUCUUCUUCUUUAGGGCUCUACGUCCCCACUGGGACUUGGCCUGCCUCGCUUCAACUUAGUGUUUUUUAGCACUUCCACAGUUAUUUUUAGAGGUGUCAAGGACGGUUCAGACUUUAGACGGACAAAUCAAAAGAUCAAGGACACUGUCAUAAAGUGUUCAAGAGGAUAUAAGGCGUUGUUUGGGUGGGACAUAAGGCUUAGGGGUGUAGGGGUGUUCCAGGACAUUUUCAGCAGAUCUACAUACGUUAUCAAUGGGGUUUUGUUACCAUUCUUCUGAUGUGCAACAUUCUAUAGGUCUAUGAAUUAUAGAGUUAUGUCCAUAAAUGUAGAAGGUCCUCCACAAGCUCUCGCGAAUAUAGGCAUCAAGAUACAUGCAUAUACAUACAUACAUUUAUUUGUUCAACAUCACAUUUAAGACAAGACAUAACCAACAAUAGUACGUCAGGCCAGGCCAGUAGGCAUCAAGAUCUACAAGCGUAAUCAACAGAUUGUUACAUAAAUGAUACAGUGCAAUACAUACAGAGCCAUUGAGCAUUGUUCUUUAAAGAACAAAUUUACAAAGAUAUUCUAGGUCAUCCAAGGACGAGAGUAAAAGCCUUGAGAUCUACAAGCGUAAUCCAUGGAUUGUUGUUACAUUACUGACACGGUGCACCAUCAUAACUGGAGCAUUGUUCUGUGAAGAACUUAUUUUCAACGAUGUUCUAGGUCCUCCAAGAACUUCCGCGAGUGAAGGUCGUCUGAUCUACAAGGGUAACCAAUGACCUUUUCUUAUUCUACUGUUUCGGUAUUAGCCGCCGUUCAUAAAUAACGUAACGCUCCAGGGGGAGGGGGCGAGUACGGCCAAGCUUUACGGCCCUUACAAAAAAGAUUUUCAUACAAAAAAGCAUUACGGAGGGGAGAGGGGGGUCGAAAAACGUCGAUUUGAGCGUUAUGUAAUAAAAGGAUGCUGCCAGAGCCUUUUAGAUGUUAAUGCCUAUAACUCAAAGGGUUUAAGGCUUGGUUUAAGAACAAACGUCUUGACAUCCCGCUUUAACAGUGCAUCAAAACUUCAAACGCACAAAUCUCAAGAAACAAGCUUCACAACAAAACAUUUCAUUAUUCUGUUCUUGCUCACUUGUAAUAAAAACCUAAAAUAAGAAGAUCAGGUGCGCUGGUUUUGUUUACGAAGAGAUUUGUGCCAUCGAUAUCGUGAGGAGGUGCCAAAGUCGGCAAUUUUGGGGUUCUAACAAGUUUGUCCUUAAAGAGUGAACCUAAUCUAUGUAGAGUUGCAAUGGGAUUCAUAAGAUUUAUUCUGAUAGUU
Aedes albopictus (Asian tiger mosquito) is the source of this 2908-nucleotide long non-coding RNA. RefSeq lists it as uncharacterized. The record is from RefSeq and is a predicted model, not a curated record. The transcript has 3 exons. NCBI's taxonomy places the organism in Eukaryota, Metazoa, Arthropoda, Insecta, Diptera, Culicidae.